Molecule: long non-coding RNA, 542 nt
Filed under: Equus caballus (horse)
Lineage: Eukaryota; Metazoa; Chordata; Mammalia; Perissodactyla; Equidae
Description: lncRNA (ENSECAG00000058827.1)
Source: RNAcentral
GGGAGAGAAAGAUUCUUCGAAGAGAGCAUAUUUAUAUCUGAAAAAGGCAAGAGCGUCAAUGUGAGAAUAAGGGUUGUAAUCAACUAACGAAGCACCUAGGUGGCGGGAAGGAAACGUUGUGCAGACUGUUCCCUAAGAACAGUGGCUUGGUCGUUUCGGGCAGAGGGGAGAAGUGCAUUGGAUACAGAGCACAGCAGGGUUUAAGAUUGCCAGCAAACCAUGAGAAGCUAGGAGAAAGGAAUGGAACCGCUUCUCCUUCACAUUCCUCAGAAGGAACCAACCCUGCAGACACCUUGAUCUUGGACUUCAAGCCUCCAGAACUAGCAAAGGCUGUGUGAAGAAAUGGCGAGAAGGUGGCCAUCUGCAACCCAAGGAGAGAGCCGUCACUACACACUGACCCUGCUGGUACCUGGAUCCUAAACAUCCAGUCUCCAGAGCUGUGCGAAAUAAAUUCCUGUUGGUUAAGCCACCCAGUCUAUGGUAUUUUGUUAUGGCAGCCUGAGCUGGCUGAAACAAAGCUCAACUGGUAUGAAGGUCCAUUG